Hyaena hyaena (striped hyena) is the source of this 419-nucleotide long non-coding RNA. RefSeq lists it as uncharacterized. The transcript has 2 exons. The record is from RefSeq and is a predicted model, not a curated record. NCBI's taxonomy places the organism in Eukaryota, Metazoa, Chordata, Mammalia, Carnivora, Hyaenidae.
ACCGAAGUCCAAACCUCAAAUGACUGAGCCACCCAGGCGCCCCUAGGGAUUCUUUAUUAUUAAGUCUUAGCCUUAGCUCAAACUCAUUUUCCUGGAAAUUUCACCUCCAAUCUGCUUGUGAACUCCGGCUGAGGGCUGCGGCAGCUCCCCGUUUCUCUGAGGCCACAUAAACAGGCCUGAAUUCUCUCUGUGAGGACCUUCCAUCCUUUGUCCUCACAGCUGCCUUCUCCCUGGAUCCUGUGAGGGGUGAAGCCAUCCCUGCUGAUACCCUGGUUCAAAGAUUCCUCUGGAAAUGACCAAAUUCUCAACUGACCAGUUCAAGUAAAUUCCUGCACUAGAUUUAUCAGUGUUCAUAAGUGUACCACCAGUGCAUAUUUGAUAAAUGAUUAAGUAAAUACCUUGAUUACUUUAUUAAGAAA